UACGUAGGUGGCAAGCGUUGUUCGGAAUUAUUGGGCGUAAAGGGCGCGUAGGCGGUCUUGUAAGUCAGCUGUGAAAGCCCGGGGCUCAACCCCGGAGGGUCGGCUGAUACUGCAGGACUGGAGUACGGAAGAGGUAGCUGGAAUUCCCGGUGUAGCGGUGAAAUGCGCAGAUAUCAGGAGGAACACCGAUGGCGAAGGCAGCUCACUGGGACGGUACUGACGCUGAGACGCGAAAGCGUGGGGAGCAAACAGG
RNAcentral lists this ribosomal RNA (253 nucleotides) under uncultured bacterium. Its description in RNAcentral is "partial 16S ribosomal RNA". It matches the Rfam family "Bacterial small subunit ribosomal RNA", at positions 524 to 776 of the family's 1533-position model. The record is from RNAcentral.